RNAcentral lists this ribosomal RNA (468 nucleotides) under uncultured bacterium. RNAcentral describes it as "partial 16S ribosomal RNA". It matches the Rfam family "Bacterial small subunit ribosomal RNA", at positions 28 to 507 of the family's 1533-position model. The record is from RNAcentral.
GACGAACGCUGGCGGCGUGCUUAACACAUGCAAGUCGAGCGGAAAGGCCCUGCUUUUGUGGGGUGCUCGAGUGGCGAACGGGUGAGUAACACGUGAGUAACCUGCCCUUGACUUUGGGAUAACUUCAGGAAACUGGGGCUAAUACCGGAUAGGAGCUCCUGCUGCAUGGUGGGGGUUGGAAAGUUUCGGCGGUUGGGGAUGGACUCGCGGCUUAUCAGCUUGUUGGUGGGGUAGUGGCUUACCAAGGCUUUGACGGGUAGCCGGCCUGAGAGGGCGACCGGCCACAUUGGGACUGAGAUACGGCCCAGACUCCUACGGGAGGCAGCAGUGGGGAAUAUUGCACAAUGGGCGGAAGCCUGAUGCAGCAACGCCGCGUGCGGGAUGACGGCCUUCGGGUUGUAAACCGCUUUCGCCUGUGACGAAGCGUGAGUGACGGUAAUGGGUAAAGAAGCACCGGCUAACUACGUG